Molecule: ribosomal RNA, 253 nt
Filed under: uncultured bacterium
Lineage: Bacteria
Description: partial 16S ribosomal RNA
Rfam family: Bacterial small subunit ribosomal RNA
Source: RNAcentral
UACGAAGGGGGCUAGCGUUGUUCGGAAUCACUGGGCGUAAAGCGCACGUAGGCGGCUUGUUAAGUCGGGGGUGAAAUCCUGGAGCUCAACUCCAGAACUGCCUUCGAUACUGGCGAUCUUGAGUCCGGGAGAGGUGAGUGGAACUCCGAGUGUAGAGGUGAAAUUCGUAGAUAUUCGGAAGAACACCAGUGGCGAAGGCGACUCACUGGCCCGGUACUGACGCUGAGGUGCGAAAGCGUGGGGAGCAAACAGG